Long non-coding RNA from Octopus bimaculoides (California two-spot octopus), 848 nucleotides. RefSeq lists it as uncharacterized. The record is from RefSeq and is a predicted model, not a curated record. NCBI's taxonomy places the organism in Eukaryota, Metazoa, Mollusca, Cephalopoda, Octopoda, Octopodidae.
UUUAUGUUGGCUACUUUUUAAAAUCCAGCUAUCCACUACUUACCUAGCAAGAACAGCUUGAAAUACCAAACCAAUUGAAGACUGACAAGUUGUUUGGACGUGCUAAGACCCAACUCUGCCAUAAAAAAAAUGAAGGACUAGGGAUGUCGUUUGAAAGAACAACCUUCUUCCAAUGACCAUCCAGAUGGGAGACAGUGAAAUAUCGAAAUUUUAUAACCAUAAGUAUAACAGGUGGAACAGAAUUUCGAGGCGGAUUUUCUACAGACGGAUGCCCUUCCUAUACAUACAUGUGCACACGCAACCAUACACAAAUCAUCGUCAUUUAACAUCCGUUUUUCAUGCCGGGUUGGAUGGUUACACAGAAUUCUACGAGUGGUAGGGCUGCACCGAUACACAUAAACAGACACAAACUUGCAUAACUUUACACACACACACAUGUUUACAUUAAUGACCUAUGGGGACACGGCAUUUCAUUAUGCAACCAUAACAUACCACAAAGUAUAUUCAACGCUUUUAUAAGUCUACUACAUUGACAGUGCUAUUACAUCACUCGUUAAAGUUAUCUCUACAGAUUUUCUAUAGAAAUUAUAGCCAGCACUAACUUUCUUACGGCGUUUUUCUAUAUACUACAAAGUAACAAAAUCAGUGCUGGAUAAAAUUCUUCCAGAAAAUCUGUAGAGAUAACCUUAAUAGUGACAUACGUAUAUAUACAUGCUAUAUAUGCACAUACACACACACACACACAUAUGCUGCAAGAACAUACUGAGACAAUGAGAGAUAUUCCUUUGCUCGGAAACAUAUAAGGGUUGGGGUAUCCAGCUAUUGAAAAUCUAUCUCAAAAGCAUGGA